RNAcentral lists this ribosomal RNA (736 nucleotides) under uncultured bacterium. RNAcentral's name for it is "bacterial SSU rRNA". It matches the Rfam family "Bacterial small subunit ribosomal RNA", at positions 65 to 795 of the family's 1533-position model. The record is from RNAcentral.
AGCGGGGAAGGGUAGCUUGCUACCUGACCUAGCGGCGGACGGGUGAGUAAUGCUUAGGAAUCUGCCUAUUAGUGGGGGACAACAUUCCGAAAGGAAUGCUAAUACCGCAUACGCCCUACGGGGGAAAGCAGGGGAUCUUCGGACCUUGCGCUAAUAGAUGAGCCUAAGUCAGAUUAGCUAGUUGGUGGGGUAAAGGCCUACCAAGGCGACGAUCUGUAGCGGGUCUGAGAGGAUGAUCCGCCACACUGGGACUGAGACACGGCCCAGACUCCUACGGGAGGCAGCAGUGGGGAAUAUUGGACAAUGGGCGAAAGCCUGAUCCAGCCAUGCCGCGUGUGUGAAGAAGGCCUUUUGGUUGUAAAGCACUUUAAGCGAGGAGGAGGCUACUUAGAUUAAUACUCUAGGAUAGUGGACGUUACUCGCAGAAUAAGCACCGGCUAACUCUGUGCCAGCAGCCGCGGUAAUACAGAGGGUGCGAGCGUUAAUCGGAUUUACUGGGCGUAAAGCGUGCGUAGGCGGCUUCUUAAGUCGGAUGUGAAAUCCCUGAGCUUAACUUAGGAAUUGCAUUCGAUACUGGGAAGCUAGAGUAUGGGAGAGGAUGGUAGAAUUCCAGGUGUAGCGGUGAAAUGCGUAGAGAUCUGGAGGAAUACCGAUGGCGAAGGCAGCCAUCUGGCCUAAUACUGACGCUGAGGUACGAAAGCAUGGGGAGCAAACAGGAUUAGAUACCCUGGUAGUC